CCUACGGGAGGCAGCAGUAGGGAAUAUUGCUCAAUGGGGGCAACCCUGAAGCAGCAACGCCGCGUGGAGGAUGAAGGUUUUCGGAUUGUAAACUCCUUUUGUUAGAGAAGAUAAUGACGGUAUCUAACGAAUAAGCACCGGCUAACUCCGUGCCAGCAGCCGCGGUCAUACGGAGGGUGCAAGCGUUACUCGGAAUCACUGGGCGUAAAGAGCGCGUAGGCGGGAUAGCAAGUCAGAUGUGAAAUCCUAUGGCUUAACCAUAGAACUGCAUUUGAAACUGUUAUUCUAGAGUAUGGGAGAGGUAGGUGGAAUGCGUGGUGUAGGGGUAAAAUCCGUAGAGAUCAAGAGGAAUACUCAUUGCGAAGGCGACCUGCUAGAACAUAACUGACGCUGAUGCGCGAAAGCGUGGGGAGCAAACAGGAUUAGAUACCCCGGUAGUC
RNAcentral lists this ribosomal RNA (440 nucleotides) under uncultured bacterium. Its description in RNAcentral is "partial 16S ribosomal RNA". It matches the Rfam family "Bacterial small subunit ribosomal RNA", at positions 338 to 795 of the family's 1533-position model. The record is from RNAcentral.